AGAGAGAGAGAGAAAGUGUUUUCUCUCUAGAGUCUCUCCCCAUAACUCUUUUAACUUAGUUCACAGCCGCCUCCUUAUUCCGAUUCCGGUGACUGGUUCCUCCUUGGUUCCGGUCGCCACCCCUAUGCUCUGUUUCUUUCAGCCUCUCCCUUAACCUUCUCUCCUUACCCUUCUCCUCCUUGUACGGUGUUGCUGGAUUUUCUCCGAGUUUCUCCGUGUUUCGGUGAACCUAAAAGAGAGCGGCUUGCGUUUGCGGCUCUUCUGGAACACUGACGAGGAGCAGGUUUUGUCGGGGAGCUUAAGGUGCCUCUGAUUUCGGUCUCAGCUUGUCAAACAGAGCAGAUCUGGGUCAGAUCUGAUCUCGCCACAGCCGGAAAGGAUGGUGAAGCGUCGCUGCCUCCUCCUCCCCUCAUCGGCGCCGGCCUGUACAUGAAUGAUUGGCUGGUUCUAGUUUUGAAGGUCUCGUCAGAGCUUCUCCCCUCCAUCCGGAGAAUCGACGAUGCUAAGGCUCACCUUCGUUGAGAAACUCUGUUUUUAGACCAAAUCGACGACUUCCAUGACCGCAAAGGAGUUAGUUUGGAGCCUCCCCGUCUUGCUAUCUGUCACCGCUCCACUGGGUUUUGAGGACGACCCCUACGACGGUACUAUCGGCUUCAAGGCGAGUCUCCCUUCCUGUUUGCUGCUCAUGUUUUGAGGAGAGCCAUGUUUUCUCCUCCGGUGCUUCACUUCUCUACUCUUCACCGACGCAACCUCAGUGUGCCUCUCCAUUGUCUCAGCCAUUUAAACGUCGCAUGGCCGGUUGGAGAGCCAAAUUUACCGCCUGCGCUUGACAGGUCUGUUCUUCAUGUCAGGUGGAGUAUUGGCGAGUACAUUGGGGGUUUUGUUGUCGAGAAAGCAAAGGGUCUGGUUCUGCUCGAUGUCCUCCUCCUCUGGUGUCCCGGAGCCGUUGCCAGCCGCCUCCGUUGAAGCCGUUAGGAGCCACCCUCGGGUCGGUUGAAUUUAACUCGGGAGUAAUCAAUGGAACUCCUCUGUUAUGUUGUAUGCUUGAUCCAUCUUGCCUAAAAGAGCAUACAAUUUUGAUCAACUGAAAAAUUAUAGACGGCCACAGAGAUCACAAGGUGAUGUAUGAAGAACGUUACGGUGGCGUUAAUGGUGAAAAAAUUUCAUCGAUGGUACCGAACUUCCUGAUCCGACAUGUGCUGGCACGUGCAAAAUUUUAAUCUUUUUUUUUAACACGGGCAACGGUUUAAUCUAUUGUCCAUUUUUAGUGGGUUUAGUGGGCUGAUAUUAUGAUUGAGGAAUGGGCUAAUACAUAUAUGUACUGUUGUCUCAGUGAAAUUAGUAUUACCAAUAAAAAUAUUAAAUAACCUAA
Long non-coding RNA from Raphanus sativus (radish), 1372 nucleotides. RefSeq lists it as uncharacterized. The transcript has 2 exons. Lineage: Eukaryota; Viridiplantae; Streptophyta; Magnoliopsida; Brassicales; Brassicaceae. The record is from RefSeq and is a predicted model, not a curated record.